RNAcentral lists this ribosomal RNA (468 nucleotides) under uncultured bacterium. RNAcentral describes it as "partial 16S ribosomal RNA". It matches the Rfam family "Bacterial small subunit ribosomal RNA", at positions 28 to 507 of the family's 1533-position model. The record is from RNAcentral.
GACGAACGCUGGCGGCGUGCUUAACACAUGCAAGUCGAACGGAAAGGCCCUGCUUUUGUGGGGUGCUCGAGUGGCGAACGGGUGAGUAACACGUGAGUAACCUGCCCUUGACUUUGGGAUAACUUCAGGAAACUGGGGCUAAUACCGGAUAGGAGCUCCUGCUGCAUGGUGGGGGUUGGAAAGUUUCGGCGGUUGGGGAUGGACUCGCGGCUUAUCAGCUUGUUGGUGGGGUAGUGGCUUACCAAGGCUUUGACGGGUAGCCGGCCUGAGAGGGUGACCGGCCACAUUGGGACUGAGAUACGGCCCAGACGCCUACGGGAGGCAGCAGUGGGGAAUAUUGCACAAUGGGCGGAAGCCUGAUGCAGCAACGCCGCGUGCGGGAUGACGGCCUUCGGGUUGUAAACCGAUGUCGCCUGUGACGAAGCGUGAGUGACGGUAAUGGGUAAAGAAGCACCGGCUAACUACGUG